GAAAACUUAAGAACUUUUCACUCCACACUUGCCCACACGUUUUUGCCUCCAAGCUUUCAAGCUUUCAAGUGCUCAAGUGUCCUAGCUUUCCAAAGCUUCAAAAGCUCUCCAACUUCUUCUUCUAAUCUUCUUGUUCAUCUUUACAAGUAAGAAGUGUUGUUUGCUUUAAUAUUCCAUUCUUCUAAUCACCUCUUGUGUGUGUCCACUUUGGUUGAGAGGGUUGUCUCAAUAGUACCAAAGUGUGAGAGAAGGUUUUUGAGCUCAACCAUAAAGCUCUAAUUUGGUUUUAUAGAGUUUCCGGGAAAACUCUUAGGUCGAGUCUACCUUUAAAGAUUUCAGAGGUUUUUAAGAGUUCCUUGAUACUCUAAGGUACUAACUUACCCGUAAAAGUUAGAGGUUCUUAAGAGUGCCCUUGAUACUCUAAGGUGUGAGUCUACCCGUAAAAGACUGGUUCCUAAGCGAAGUAGCCUUAAAGCUUAGAGAGAUUUUUAAGAGUUCCUUGAUACUCUAAGGUACUAACUUACCCGUAAAAGUUAGAGGUUCUUAAGAGUGCCCUUGAUACUCUAAGGUGUGAGUCUACCCGUAAAAGACUGGUUCCUAAGCGAAGUAGCCUUAAAGCUUAGAGAGGUUCUUAAGAGUUUCCUUGAUACUCUAAGGUUUUGUCAUAACCUUUAGGCGAGUGAAUUCCGGCAGUUGGUCGGGACUGGACUAGCCCUUGUUUGGGUGAACCAGUAUAAAUCUCUUGUGUUGUUCUCUGUUAAUUAUAGUUUUAUCUUUUAUCUAAAACAACUAAAUCAACACUUAAUUAAAAAGGAUCCCUCUUCCAGUUAUCUGGUCAAAUACAAAGGUUGACUACUUUACGCAGAUCCCUCAUCCAGUUAUCUGGUCAACUAUCUGAGGUUAUAUUCAUUGUUUUAAAUCCUUAUAUUUGUUCAAGCAUUUACUUAUCAUAUAUAUCCAGUUAUCUGGUCAUUUACUUGCUUAUCAAUAUAUCCAGUUAUCUGGUCAUUUACUUGCUUAUAAAUAUAUCCAGUUAUCUGGUCAUUUACUCUACAAUACAAUUUGUGUUUAUAAUAUAACUUAAUAUUCAUAUACUAUAGUUGUGUGUAAAACACUAUCAAGCGAGUUGACUCAGUAUUCAUAUACUGUGGUAAGCUUCGAAGAGUAAUAAUUACAUUAUUAUAUCAAUCAAAGUUAUAAUAUCUUUAUAUCAUUAUUGUUCAACCAUUUGUUUAUUAAGCGUUUACAGGUAAUUCCGCAAUCAACCUGUAUAAAUCGAAAAGAGGCUAUUAUCCCCUCUUAUAGCCUCGGAUCACGAUC
RNAcentral lists this long non-coding RNA (1320 nucleotides) under Zostera marina. Its description in RNAcentral is "long non-coding RNA (ZMAR_LNC000833)". The record is from RNAcentral. Lineage: Eukaryota; Viridiplantae; Streptophyta; Magnoliopsida; Alismatales; Zosteraceae.